AGUUGUUAAAACGAGACGAGACGAGAUAUUUAACGACUAACGGGUUAAUAUCCUAAAUAUCUAACCUACCCUACCCCUAACCACCCCCAAACCUCCCAAAACCCCUUUCCCCUCACUAACUCACGCUAUAUCAGCCCACACCACACACACAACUCACAUAUUCACACACACAACACCUAAAACACACACUACACACGCCAUUUUCCAUUUAAGCUUGGACGGAGCUUUUGACCUCCGAUUUGAGCACCGAGACGAGCGCCGAUCAUCUUUUCGAUCAUGUAUCUAAGUAGGUUGAGCUGAUGUGAUGAUGGUGCUGCAAUGAGCGGAGUCUCCAGGGUUGUUAAUAAAUAGUUAACCUGUCUAGAAUAUGUCUUCAUACAUAUGUCUAGCUACUUUCCGCUGCAAGAUGUUGUUGAUGUUAUAGUAUGUUAUGUCAUACUUUGAGUCUUAAGAGAAUGGUUUCAUACGAUGUAUAACUUGAUUAAUGAUAUUAAUUAAGUUUUAUGCUGUCUUUCA
Molecule: long non-coding RNA, 516 nt
Organism: Salvia miltiorrhiza (redroot sage)
Lineage: Eukaryota; Viridiplantae; Streptophyta; Magnoliopsida; Lamiales; Lamiaceae
Exons: 2
Source: RefSeq, a predicted model, not a curated record